ACAGGAAGACGAGCCUCACUGCCAGAGACAAGGACGAGUGGACUCGGGUCGGCUGAGACGUCAGACCCCAGGUCUGUGCGUGACUCGCUUUGCGCAGACCAUGGCCCACUGCACGGCUCUUUCUCCGCCCGGGCCCUGGGCCCCGGCUGCCGCCCCUCGUGCUGAGUAGUUGGUCGUAGUUGGUCAUCGGCUGAGCCGAGUUUCCAGAGCUGCCCAGCCCCCGAGGUUACCUGGGCGCCCACCUGGUGCAGCUCCCACGAGCACCACCCCCAGUGAGGGGCCACCUGGACGCUGCACUCUGGGAAACAGGUCAGACACCCUCGGCCGGAGCCCUGCCAGUCGUUUCUCCAGAGAUUCCUGCCGGCCCUCCCCUGAGGCAGAGCCGCCUGAUCCAGUCAAGGCCCAGCAGCGUUUCUGCCUUGCUAUGCCGUCACUGCUCCCUGCGACUUCCUUCCAGAGAAUCAGUCCCACCAGGAAGGAGCUGGCGCAGUUACCCCUCAGGAAACUAUUUGAAGACCUUCCUCAGGGUUAAAGACCCGGUGAUUGGUCAGGGGGGCUCUGGGCCGAGCUUUUUCCUGAGAACAACACUUCCGACACAGACUCCGCUCUGGGAAGCUGCGAUGCCUCAGACAUAGGUGCUGUCUGUGUCCUAGCAGAGCCCCCCAGAGGGUGACCUGGGGCAGCAGGGACAGCCCCCCACACCCAGCCAGCCCAGCGCGCGCCUCUCCCGGGCCCGCACUGACUUUGGAGGUGAACUCUGCAAGUCUCUGCCACGUACACCUUCGUGCCUGGGCGGCUGUCUCCCGCACACUCCUUCUCCACCCCGGCCCACAGCCCGGCUGUGUGUGGGCCAGGGACUCUCGGAAGGGGAGGUCCCACCCCAUACCGCAGCACGGACCAGCAGGCUGGGAGCCAGGAUGGAAGAAAAGGGAAAGAAGGAAGCCUCA
Chinchilla lanigera (long-tailed chinchilla) is the source of this 947-nucleotide long non-coding RNA. RefSeq lists it as uncharacterized. NCBI's taxonomy places the organism in Eukaryota, Metazoa, Chordata, Mammalia, Rodentia, Chinchillidae. The record is from RefSeq and is a predicted model, not a curated record. The transcript is spliced from 3 exons.